This 500-nucleotide ribosomal RNA is filed under the name uncultured bacterium. RNAcentral describes it as "bacterial SSU rRNA". It matches the Rfam family "Bacterial small subunit ribosomal RNA", at positions 28 to 507 of the family's 1533-position model. The record is from RNAcentral.
GACGAACGCUGGCGGCGUGCCUAAUACAUGCAAGUCGAGCGGAAUGAUGAAGAAGCUUGCUUCUUCUGAUUUUAGCGGCGGACGGGUGAGUAACACGUGGGCAACCUACCUUGUAGAUUGGGAUAACUCCGGGAAACCGGGGCUAAUACCGAAUAAUCCAUUUUGCUUCAUGGCGAGAUGUUGAAAGACGGUUUCGGCUGUCACUACAAGAUGGGCCCGCGGCGCAUUAGCUAGUUGGUAGGGUAAUGGCCUACCAAGGCGACGAUGCGUAGCCGACCUGAGAGGGUGAUCGGCCACACUGGGACUGAGACACGGCCCAGACUCCUACGGGAGGCAGCAGUAGGGAAUCUUCCACAAUAGACGAAAGUCUGAUGGAGCAACGCCGCGUGAGUGAAGAAGGUUUUCGGAUCGUAAAACUCUGUUGUAAGGGAAGAACACGUACGAGAGUAACUGCUCGUACCUUGACGGUACCUUAUUAGAAAGCCACGGCUAACUACGUG